RNAcentral lists this unclassified non-coding RNA (850 nucleotides) under uncultured fungus. Its description in RNAcentral is "sequence contains 18S rRNA gene, ITS1, 5.8S rRNA gene, ITS2, 28S rRNA gene". The record is from RNAcentral. Lineage: Eukaryota; Fungi.
ACGGCCCGGUCAACGUGGUGGCACCCAGGGUCGUUGACAACCGCGAGUUCACCCACACAUUGGGUCGCGUCCUCCGUCGUCCUACGAUCAUUCCGAUGCCAGCAUUCGCCGCACGGCUGGUAUUCGGCGAAAUGGCGGACGCGUUGUUGUUGGCAAGCCAGCGCGUCGAACCAAUUCGGCUAACGACAAGCGGUUACGAAUUUCGGUUCCGGGAACUCGAACCUGCGUUGCGGCAUCUGUUGGGCCGGUAGGCUCGACUGCCGACAUUCGACCGUACAAGCUCGAUUCCAGAACAGCCUCGACAACUUUCGGCCAAUCCUGUUUAGUCCACAGGUAUUGGGAGACAUUUAUGGGGAGACACAUUCGACUCGUCGCAAUCUUCGCGUUGGUUUUGCUGCCUGCCAGUUUCGGAUUUUCACAGCAGUCAUUCGGUCGCGUGGACAUCCGUGCCUUGCGUCCCAGCAACACGGUAACCUUCAAGACCGCGGACACGAACGUCGCGAUCGGCUACGCAGCAUGGCGAAACGAGAAUCCGCGGGCGACCAUCGUCGCGCAAAGCAGGUUACGACCAAUUGGUCUGAGGUUACUUUCCAGUUCUCGGUGGCCCAGAGCGAUCAGGUCACAUUGAUCCUGCGCGGACGUUAUCGCGAGACGGAACCGACCGGCGAACUCAUCCACGAUUGGGUGUGGGUGGACAACGUCAGCCUCGUUGGGGCGAACAAAGAGCGCUUAUGCCAAAACGGCAGUUUCGAAAAAGUACACGGAUUUAUCGGUCGUCGGGAACGGGAUGGCCAGCCGGAGAAAUGGGGCUACAAGGGUAAAAACCGCGAGAUCAAGUUCGACGCCUCCU